Molecule: long non-coding RNA, 3221 nt
Filed under: Salvia miltiorrhiza (redroot sage)
Lineage: Eukaryota; Viridiplantae; Streptophyta; Magnoliopsida; Lamiales; Lamiaceae
Description: long non-coding RNA (SMIL_LNC007494)
Source: RNAcentral
CUAACUCUGUCAAAAUCAAAAUACUUGAGAACUAAAUAUGGUGUAACAUACAAACUUUCUAGUGAUAGCUGGAUACACAGAUAUCAAAACUCAUUUAAAGGAACUAAUAUUUACAACUCUCUUACAUUGUAUUCAUUGGAACAAAGGUUUCACCAUUUUUAUCACAAGCAAGCCAUGGUCCAGGGACGGGCUAACCCUCGGAAAAAGAUCGACAACAUGGACCAAAAUCCUAAUUUCCAGCUAGAAAUGUUCAGAAGAUAUUUUCCACUAAUCUUAUUAACCAAGCAGCUUAACAAAAUCAUCAGGUUUUCAUUAAACAACUCCAAGACAGAAAUACCUUAGGCAGUAAAAGGAGAUGAAAAAAAAAAAUCCAAUGCUGGCAUAUACAAAGAAAAUAUAUCAUUUCUACCAUAGACAGGAGGGCUUUCAUCAUCUGGUUUUAUAUCGACCUCAAAGAAUUCCUCAAGCGGGUUGCGUGCACCCGUAGAAUACGCGGCAGCUGCAGCAACCGAGGCCUCGGAUUUGGCUGCAGCGCCAAAGAGGGCCCUCCCAAACACCCUCGUCAAGAACAUUGGUAUUUCACAAAUCUAAGGACUUUCUGCAGGAAACAAGAAAUCAAAGAACCAAUAAAUAAUCUAAAAUCACAAAAGCACAUAUCUUGACCGCAAUCUGAACAACUGAUAUUGGAUUCAGGAUCAAACUGCACAUAACUCGCCAAUUUAUAGAACUUGUGACAAAUUAUUGUUACUCUAAAUAAAAAUGAUUCAGUGAUUUCGAAUCGAGAAUGCAGGGAAAAAAAAAUUAAACUUAAACCCUACCAAAACCCCUCGAUUCAGUAGCCAAAUAUUUGUGCAGAGCUCAUUACACAUACAUAGAUUCGCAUACCUUAAAGCAACAAGAAUGAGUUUAGCGCAGUGAAGAGCGAGAGGCAUAUCUACUUUGAAGUGUCAAACAAACAAAUUGGGCCCAACCAAUUAUGGUUAACAAACUCAAGCCCAAUAAAACUUUUACUUUUUUGGGCACUUGUAUGUGCAGUUAUUACUGUGAUUCAAGCCCAUUAUUAUACUGCAAUUAAGCUCUAUAAAACCCCAAAAUAUAAAUCAAUAGUUCCAAGGUCAAUUGACCCAUUUAAUGUUAUCAGAAAAUAGUCAUAGUCAUUGGAGUUGAAGGAGAAGAUACAAGACUAUGAUUAAGACCCCAACUAAUCAUUGUAUAAAUAGCGUUUGAAAAAUUUGGUAGAAAGAUAAGGCAUAAGAAGUUUAAGAACAUGCAAUAAUUAAUAGUUGUGCCUUUUAAGACCUUAUAUGGAUAGGAACAUGUAUAUAAGAAGUUAUUUAAAUGUAUUUUUAAGGAUCUUGUAAAUAUUCAUAUUAUGUGAACUCUGAAGUUUUUUUUUUUUUUAAUUAGAGCUUAUAAAAGUUAACAAUUUUGUUGGAAUAGUUUGUUGUUGAAGUGUUAUAAGAUAAUUAUAACAUUUCGUUAUAAAACUAUGAACUAAAAAUUGCCAAAACACAUUGAAAAUAAAUAGAUGUCUCCUUACUUCUUCGCAAAACAGUUCAUAUAUUUAGCGUUCAGUAUCUUACCUUUUAAAUAUUAACCUAUACAGUUCCAGGAAAAAAAAAGUAUGUGCUCCUUUUGGUAAGCCUACAAAUAAUAUCAUAUNAACAUUCAGCCACUUAAAAUUAUGAAAUAGGACAUCUAAGAGCUUGAUUGUGGUUCUCUAUAUAUAUGAAGAAUCCAAAAUUCGUGCCAUGAAACCUGGAACUACCUGGCAUUAGAAUAGUCGCAGCAUGCAUAGAACAGAAGUAAAAAGCCAUGCUAGGGAGAUCCGAUUUCUUCAGUGAAUUCGACCCAAAAAGGAGAAUCGUGUAGGCAUUUCAGCAGAAAAGGUUAUUUCCUAACUACCAUGUUUAUUUAAGUUUUUCCUAACUGAUCUAUGUAGGUAAUUCAUGUUCCUCAGGUUUUUCAGCAGACAAGGUCGACCGUCAUGCAUGUCACGCCCACUGGUAAUACUUCCCCGAAUUCUCAUAAUAUCUACCCAUACUUCUCCAAGUGAAAGAAUUUUAGAUUUUACAAAACCUUAUCGAAAAUCACUAGAAUCGCCAUAAACCUGGCAUCUCAGAUGAAAAUUAGAAGGAUAUAAUGCCUUCAUCAACCAAAAUAACAUGAUAAAAAAUUAUGGAAAGGAGGCUACUCAUGAGAAAUUAAUCAAAUACUUUCCAUGCUAGGGUCAAAAAUUCCAUCAGGGUAGCAAAAAAACAAAACAUGAGCAUGCAUAUUUAUAAACUUGACUUCGAUCGUAGGUUCAGGAAGGGUGGAAUAACAGAGAAAACGGAGUUCAUACUUUGCACGCAAAGAUCCUAUGACGACAGGCAGUCAAGCCAUCAUCUUAGCUUAGAGGAACCAGAUGCAACUUGUACACUGACAAAGAAUAUAGCAUGAAUUGCAAGUAGUCGACUGUGAAUUAAUCACAUAUACAUUUCAUAAUUGAAGUAAGUAGGAAAACUAGCAGUAGAUUUUAAUAGUGAACCAAAGUACACCUUUGAAAUACGCUCGGGACUAGGAAAUCUCAAGUUCUGAGUAUUCAGCAUCUGUCGCUGAGUCAUCAACAUGUUCUUUUCUUUCAAAAGAACAUACCAGAGCUUAUUAAGGUCAUCCCAAGACUUGAGACGCAGUUCGGAAGCCUUCCAACUCCGACCUGAACAAAAAUUUUUUGAAGGCAACUCACUUUGUGCACACGUUUAUUUGUUCAAAUAAUGAAUACUGGUGUGUGUGUGUGAGUUGGCCUAGUGGUAAGAGGUUAAUGCUUAAGACCCGAGGUCCUGGGUUCGAGUCAUCCGCCACGCGGUCUUUAAAUUUCUUUAUUUAUUUAUGUAAUUUAUCAAAAAUAAUAAUAAUGAAUACUGGACUUCUAGAUAACCAAAUAAAGAAACAGUAAUCUUUCUAAAGAAAAUCUCCGUGCAAACAGAGAACGUAUUAUGUCAAAACAUUCUUCACUUUGAGCUAACUCUGUCAAAAUCAAAAUACUUGAGAACUAAAUAUGGUGUAACAUACAAACUUUCUAGUGAUAGCUGGAUACACAGAUAUCAAAACUCAUUUAAAGGAACUAAUAUUUACAACUCUCUUACAUUGUAUUCAUUGGAACAAAGGUUUCACCAUUUUUAUCACAAGCAAGCCAUGGUCCAGGGACGGGCUAACCCUCGGAAAAAGAUCGACAACAU